RNAcentral lists this ribosomal RNA (253 nucleotides) under uncultured bacterium. Its description in RNAcentral is "partial 16S ribosomal RNA". It matches the Rfam family "Bacterial small subunit ribosomal RNA", at positions 524 to 776 of the family's 1533-position model. The record is from RNAcentral.
UACGAAGGGGGCUAGCGUUGCUCGGAAUCACUGGGCGUAAAGCGCACGUAGGCGGACUCUUAAGUCAGGGGUGAAAUCCUGGAGCUCAACUCCAGAACUGCCUUUGAUACUGGGAGUCUUGAGUUCGGGAGAGGUGAGUGGAACUGCGAGUGUAGAGGUGAAAUUCGUAGAUAUUCGCAAGAACACCAGUGGCGAAGGCGGCAUCCUGGACCGGCAUUGACGCUGAGGAGCGAAAGCUAGGGGAGCAAACGGG